Myotis brandtii (Brandt's bat) is the source of this 47-nucleotide non-coding RNA. The record is from Rfam. Lineage: Eukaryota; Metazoa; Chordata; Mammalia; Chiroptera; Vespertilionidae.
CAAAAGGCUUUUUUAAAAAGCCACUUAUAAGGAUUUGGAAGUUCUGU